GGGCGAUUAGCUCAGUGGGAGAGCGCUUCCUUCACACGGAAGAGGUCGCAGGUUCAAUCCCUGCAUCGCCUACCA
Molecule: transfer RNA, 75 nt
Filed under: Nitrospirae bacterium GWA2_46_11
Lineage: Bacteria; Pseudomonadati; Nitrospirota
Also listed under: 5 other names
Description: tRNA-Val
Rfam family: tRNA
About the family: Transfer RNA (tRNA) molecules are approximately 80 nucleotides in length. Their secondary structure includes four short double-helical elements and three loops (D, anti-codon, and T loops).
Source: RNAcentral